AGAGUUUGAUCAUGGCUCAGGAUGAACGCUAGCGGCAAGCCUAACACAUGCAAGUCGAACGGUAACUUUUGGUGCUUGCACCGAAAGACGAGUGGCGAACGGGUGCGUAACGCGUAUGCAAUCUACCUUUUACUAGAGUAUAGCCCAGAGAAAUUUGGAUUAAUCCUCUAUAACAUCAUUAAUUCGCAUGAAUUUAUGAUUAAAGCUUCGGCGGUUAAAGAUGAGCAUGCGUCCUAUUAGUUAGUAGGUGAGGUAACGGCUCACCUAGACUACGAUAGGUAGGGGUCCUGAGAGGGAGAUCCCCCACACUGGUACUGAGACACGGACCAGACUCCUACGGGAGGCAGCAGUGAGGAAUAUUGGACAAUGGACGAAAGUCUGAUCCAGCUAUGCCGCGUGCAGGAUGACAGCCCUACGGGUUGUAAACUGCUUUUAUACAGGAAGAAAACCUUCGACGCGUCGAAGCUUGACGGUACUGUAAGAAUAAGGAUCGGCUAACUCCGUGCCAGCAGCCGCGGUAAUACGGAGGAUCCAAGCGUUAUCCGGAAUCAUUGGGUUUAAAGGGUCCGCAGGCGGUUUUUUAAGUCAGAGGUGAAAUCCUGCAGCUCAACUGUAGAAUUGCCUUUGAUACUGAAAGACUUGAGUUAUUGUGAAGUGGUUAGAAUGUGUGGUGUAGCGGUGAAAUGCAUAGAUAUCACACAGAAUACCAAUUGCGAAGGCAGAUCACUAACAAUAUACUGACGCUCAGGGACGAAAGCGUGGGUAGCGAACAGGAUUAGAUACCCUGGUAGUCCACGCCGUAAACGAUGGAUACUAGCUGUAUGUCUACUUCAGGUAGAUGUGUGGCUAAGCGAAAGUGGAUAAGUAUCCCACCUGGGGAGUAC
Molecule: ribosomal RNA, 884 nt
Filed under: uncultured bacterium
Lineage: Bacteria
Description: bacterial SSU rRNA
Rfam family: Bacterial small subunit ribosomal RNA
Source: RNAcentral